CUUCUUCUUCUUCUUCUUCUUUUCAAAAGAAAAAAAAGGAGAAAUUUAAACAAUACCUGUAAUGGAUUACAUUUCUUUCACAUUGACUCUUCACAAUUUAAUUGAUUUCCCUAUCCAAAUGAUUUCUUGGUUUUUCUUUUGGAAACCCUUGCUUCAACUCAUCUGCAACAACAUAAUACGCAGUACACUUCUUAUUCCUUCGAAUAUUUCCCCAAAUGGAGGCUUAGGGAAGGGUUUAACAACUAAUAGAGAUUCUUCUUCUUCUUCUUCUUCAUACAUUGACUGAAUUGGAGGCUUAGGAAAGGAUUUAACAUCUGCUAGAGACAAGAGUCGAAAGUUUGGUUGGCCUCCCUGCCUUCGUGAGUGCUAGAAAUGGGAAGGGGCAGCAGCAGGGGUUCCUCUUCAUUGCUCAAUUCUAGCGUUUCUUUGGGUGAAAAUCAGUACUACUACUGGGUUACCGAGAAAAGAAGGCAGGGGCGGGAAUUUUAUGGUGAAGGACAAUCAGAAAUUUGUCAGCAAGGAGGUGGUUUUUGGCUUGAUUAUUGCCGAUGAUUAGCCACCUCUUCGCCCUUUCUAGAUCCUUCUGGCUCUCUUGCUCGUUAAUUCUCCCUUCUGCCCCCACUUUUCU
Molecule: unclassified non-coding RNA, 628 nt
Filed under: Hevea brasiliensis (rubber tree)
Lineage: Eukaryota; Viridiplantae; Streptophyta; Magnoliopsida; Malpighiales; Euphorbiaceae
Source: RNAcentral